RNAcentral lists this ribosomal RNA (482 nucleotides) under uncultured bacterium. Its description in RNAcentral is "partial 16S ribosomal RNA". It matches the Rfam family "Bacterial small subunit ribosomal RNA", at positions 30 to 507 of the family's 1533-position model. The record is from RNAcentral.
AUUGAACGCUGGCGGCAUGCCUUACACAUGCCAGUCGAACGGUAACAGGUCUUCGGAUGCUGACGAGUGGCGAACGGGUGAGUAAUACAUCGGAACGUGCCCAGACGUGGGGGAUAACGAGGCGAAAGCUUUGCUAAUACCGCAUACGAUCUAAGGUGGAAAGCAGGGGACCGCAAGGCCUUGUGCGUUUGGAGCGGCCGAUGGCAGAUUAGGUAGUUGGUGGGAUAAAAGCUUACCAAGCCGACGAUCUGUAGCUGGUCUGAGAGGACGACCAGCAACACUGGGACUGAGACACGGCCCAGACUCCUACGGGAGGCAGCAGUGGGGAAUUUUGGACAAUGGGCGAAAGCCUGAUCCAGCAAUGCCGCGUGCAGGAUGAAGGCCUUCGGGUUGUAAACUGCUUUUGUACGGAACGAAAAGGCUCUGGCUAAUACCUGGGGCACAUGACGGUACCGUAAGAAUAAGCACCGACUAACUACGUG